UGGCAUAUACCCUUAAAAAUUACUUUAGAGACUAUGAGUUAGUUUAGAUCAAAUUCCCAAAGAAAGAGUUGUACAAUGAUUCCUUUAGCCCUCUCUAAGUUUUAAUUUGUUAAUUGUAUCAAGUUUUCAUGUAUGUUUUCUCUUUGCAGCUAGUUACAUCUCUAAUAUGUUAUGCUGAGGAAUUUGUUUGUGUCUUUCCUAUUUUUUUUUACCUGCUAAAUCUGUUCUUCUUCUAAUUCCCUAUAUUUUUUUUCAUUUUUUUCAUGACAAUGGAGCACAAAGAGUCUCGUUUGAGACUCAACCUCAUCAUCGCUAUACCCGAAGAUGGCAUCUUUCUCUUCGCUGUCACUCAUCUACUGCUCUUGUUCCUUUUUAUUACUUCUAAACAGAAACGGAAGUGAUAAUAACAGAGCUUCUGGAGUCUUAUCCAUUUCUUCCACUCUCUCCCAUCUGAAAAAAUAUAAAGCGAGAAUGGACGAGACGCUUCUAUAUCUUACUUCUAUCUCUUACUCCUUUAUUUUGUUUGCCAUUAAUUAUGUUAUGAAGUUUGCUACUUAUCUGUUUUUAUUAUAUUCUUAUUUUAAUUUCUUUUGAUUUCAUCGAUAAAGAAUCAGGCCUAGAACACUUGAACCUUAGAAAGGG
RNAcentral lists this long non-coding RNA (642 nucleotides) under Solanum tuberosum (potato). RNAcentral's name for it is "long non-coding RNA (STUB_LNC011375)". The record is from RNAcentral. Lineage: Eukaryota; Viridiplantae; Streptophyta; Magnoliopsida; Solanales; Solanaceae.